UACGGAGGGUGCAAGCGUUAUCCGGAUUUACUGGGUUUAAAGGGUGCGCAGGCGGAUAUGUAAGUCAGGGGUGAAAUCUUUGGGCUUAACCCGAAAAUUGCCAUUGAUACUAUAUAUCUUGAAUGCUGUGGAGGUAAGCGGAAUAUGUCAUGUAGCGGUGAAAUGCUUAGAGAUGACAUAGAACACCUAUUGCGAAGGCAGCUUACUACGCAGAUAUUGACGCUCAUGCACGAAAGCGUGGGGAUCAAACAGG
RNAcentral lists this ribosomal RNA (253 nucleotides) under uncultured bacterium. RNAcentral describes it as "partial 16S ribosomal RNA". It matches the Rfam family "Bacterial small subunit ribosomal RNA", at positions 524 to 776 of the family's 1533-position model. The record is from RNAcentral.